This is a long non-coding RNA of Pantherophis guttatus, 317 nucleotides long. RefSeq lists it as uncharacterized. The record is from RefSeq and is a predicted model, not a curated record. Lineage: Eukaryota; Metazoa; Chordata; Lepidosauria; Squamata; Colubridae.
UGGCCUCAUUUUCAUCUUCUGAGGAUACCAGGAUCUGUAGAUCUCCAGAUAACCAUUAGAUAGCAGCAAAAUAUCUAUUUUUUUUUCCAUAGCUCUAAGUUGCCAUCCAGUGGUCUGUUUUCUCAAUCCCCAAUCCAGCAGAGGUUAAUUGGAGUGAAGAUGAGAAGAAGAAAAAAACUUCCUAGCCAACACUGGUGUCUCAUCACGGACAAGGCAAAAUAAAGAAGAAAGUCAAGUACUACCCUUUCGUGACUAAAAUAAAUCCUUGCUUAAUUCUGUACAAUACUGAAUUAGUAAAUAAAAAAAAUAUGAACUCA